RNAcentral lists this ribosomal RNA (492 nucleotides) under uncultured bacterium. RNAcentral's name for it is "partial 16S ribosomal RNA". It matches the Rfam family "Bacterial small subunit ribosomal RNA", at positions 29 to 507 of the family's 1533-position model. The record is from RNAcentral.
AGUGAACGCUGGCGGUAGGCCUAACACAUGCAAGUCGAACGGCAGCACAGUAAGAGCUUGCUCUUACGGGUGGCGAGUGGCGGACGGGUGAGGAAUACAUCGGAAUCUACUUUUUCGUGGGGGAUAACGUAGGGAAACUUACGCUAAUACCGCAUACGACCUACGGGUGAAAGCAGGGGAUCUUCGGACCUUGCGCGAUUGAAUGAGCCGAUGUCGGAUUAGCUAGUUGGCGGGGUAAAGGCCCACCAAGGCGACGAUCCGUAGCUGGUCUGAGAGGAUGAUCAGCCACACUGGAACUGAGACACGGUCCAGACUCCUACGGGAGGCAGCAGUGGGGAAUAUUGGACAAUGGGCGCAAGCCUGAUCCAGCCACACCGCGUGAGUGAAGAAGGCCUUCGGGUUGUAAAGCCCUUUUGUUGGGAAAGAAAAGCAGCGGGUUAAUACCCCGCUGUUCUGACGGUACCCAAAGAAUAAGCACCGGCUAACUUCGUG